GAUGAACGCUGGCGGCGUGCCUAAUACAUGCAAGUCGAGCGAACAGAUGAUGAGCUUGCUCCUCUGACGUUAGCGGCGGACGGGUUAGUAACACGUUGAUAACCUACCUAUAAUACUGUGAUAACUUCGGGACACCGGAGCUAAUACCGGAUACUAUAUCUAACCACAUGGUUCAUUAGUGAAAGACGGUUUUGCUGUCACUUAUCUAUGUAUCCGCGCCGCAUUAGCUAGUUGGUAAGGUACCGGCUUACCAAGGCAACGAUGCGUAGCCGACCUGAGAGGGUGAUCGGCCACACUGGAACUGAGAAACGGUCCAGAGUCCUACGGGAGGCAGCAGUAGGGAAUCUUCCGAAAUGGGCGAAAGCCUGACGGAGCAACGCAGCGUGAGUGAUGAAGGUCUUCGGAUCGUAAAACUCUGUUAUUAGGGAAGAACAAAUGUGUAAGUAACUAUGCACGUCUUGACGGUACCUAAUCAGAAAGCCACGGCUAACUACGUG
Molecule: ribosomal RNA, 497 nt
Filed under: uncultured bacterium
Lineage: Bacteria
Description: partial 16S ribosomal RNA
Rfam family: Bacterial small subunit ribosomal RNA
Source: RNAcentral